This 491-nucleotide long non-coding RNA is filed under the name Hordeum vulgare. RNAcentral's name for it is "long non-coding RNA (HVUL_LNC015614)". The record is from RNAcentral. Lineage: Eukaryota; Viridiplantae; Streptophyta; Magnoliopsida; Poales; Poaceae.
UCGUGUUCCUGUGUCUGCGACUCAUGCAUAGGUGGUGGAGUCUGAAAUCCAUAUUGAGAUGAUGAUUCUAAAUUGUAGGUGAAUGGCUGUGACUCAGAAUUGAUAUAAGAUGGACCAGUAACGUCCUGCCCGAAAAAAUCAUUUAUCAUUCCUGGGAGCGUGCAUUGAGUAUCAUGGGUUUCUGUGAGUAUUUUUUUCUGUACGCCACGCUGGGUAUGUUCAUCUCCCCAUGAUGGAUCAUUAAUUUCCUGCUCCACGAAAAAUUGUUUUUAAAAUAAACUGUGUGUAGCAAAAAGAUGUGUAAAUAGAAGUUAUGUAAUUGCUUAUUACAAUUAUACAUACCUGACCGCUGUUGUAGCUUUGUGCUCCCUCUCUUGUCUCAGCCCAACGAUUCUCCUCGGGCAUCCUAAUCCCUCGCGUGGGCAGAUAUGGCUGAGAUCCUUGAGUGUGUGCGCCAUAUGCUGUAUAUGCAUCCUGCUCCACGAAAUGAG